Molecule: long non-coding RNA, 697 nt
Filed under: Medicago truncatula (barrel medic)
Lineage: Eukaryota; Viridiplantae; Streptophyta; Magnoliopsida; Fabales; Fabaceae
Description: long non-coding RNA (MTRU_LNC005392)
Source: RNAcentral
AAACCUAAAGACAAUCCACGUGUUAAAGCAGAUAUGCGUAUCAUCGAUUAUUCAUACAGAUUCUACGCAGUAUUUGGCCCCACACCAUAUUCCUUGAUUUCAUCAUCAUCGAUUUGUUUACAUAAUAAAAUCAAAAUUAAGCUUAACAACUAAGUAUCCAUCUUCUUCUCCCGAAUCAGAAAAAUGGAGUUCCCCUUCAAUCACAACACCUCCAACGUAACCCACACUCAUCACCACCGUCGUGACGACGACAACAACGAACAACAUUAUCCACCACCUGGUCACAACAAUUUAUCUUCCUUCAACCAACCACCACCACCACCACAUCAUCAACAACCACCUUUCUACCCUAACCCAUCAUACCCACCACCACCACAACAACAACCACAUCAACCCGAAACUCAAGUCUUCCACACCGGGCACGUGUCCCGUAAUGACAAUUUCAACAAUUACCCUCAACAACCACAACCUCACCAAGAAACUCAAGUGUUCCACACUGGACACGUGUCCCAUGAAAACUUCAACAGUUACCCUCAACCACCACCACCUCAAUCUCAUCAUCAACAACCCAGCUACGGCGCUGCGUACCCACCUGCACCACCAUCCGUACCGGAUCACACCUCCGCCCCAUUCCCAAACGCAACUGUUCACCAUGUUUCUCAUGAAACCCAUAACCCUCAUUUUCCUUCUUCCAACG